AUGAACGCUGGCGGCGUGCCUAAUACAUGCAAGACGAGCGAACAGAUAAGGAGCUUGCUCCUUUGACGUUAGCGGCGGACGGGUGAGUAACACGUGGGUAACCUACCUAUAAGACUGGGAUAACUUCGGGAAACCGGAGCUAAUACCGGAUAACAUUUGGAACCGCAUGGUUCUAAAGUGAAAGAUGGUUUUGCUAUCACUUAUAGAUGGACCCGCGCCGUAUUAGCUAGUUGGUAAGGUAACGGCUUACCAAGGCGACGAUACGUAGCCGACCUGAGAGGGUGAUCGGCCACACUGGAACUGAGACACGGUCCAGACUCCUACGGGAGGCAGCAGUAGGGAAUCUUCCGCAAUGGGCGAAAGCCUGACGGAGCAACGCCGCGUGAGUGAUGAAGGGUUUCGGCUCGUAAAACUCUGUUAUUAGGGAAGAACAAAUGUGUAAGUAACUGUGCACGUCUUGACGGUACCUAAUCAGAAAGCCACGGCUAACUACGUG
This 496-nucleotide ribosomal RNA is filed under the name uncultured bacterium. RNAcentral describes it as "partial 16S ribosomal RNA". It matches the Rfam family "Bacterial small subunit ribosomal RNA", at positions 29 to 507 of the family's 1533-position model. The record is from RNAcentral.